Molecule: transfer RNA, 76 nt
Filed under: Caudoviricetes sp.
Lineage: Duplodnaviria; Heunggongvirae; Uroviricota; Caudoviricetes
Description: tRNA-Thr
Rfam family: tRNA
About the family: Transfer RNA (tRNA) molecules are approximately 80 nucleotides in length. Their secondary structure includes four short double-helical elements and three loops (D, anti-codon, and T loops).
Source: RNAcentral
GCUCUCUUCGUAUAGUUUGGUUUAGUACGACUGAUUUGUAAUCAGUAAACGGUAGUUCAAAUCUGUCAGAGAGCUU